ACAUUCCCUCCAAAAUUGAAGAAUAUGAAGUUUUCAUUUUUUCUUUAUGCAUGUAAUAAGUAUUGCGAGUUUGAUCCAAGCAUGUUCAAUUCAUAAGGAUGUUUCGCACUUAUUACUUGCUUUCAUGAAACUAGAUUACAUUUACAUCAGAGCGUUUUUGCAUUUUGGGUUUGCGUUUCAUUGUUUCCACAUAAUUUCAGAUGUUAAUUAUUGGAUAGUUGAUUCAUUAGAAAAUAUUGGUGUACCUUCCAUAUGUCCUUUCGUUAGCUAUCUUUGGAUCUCAGUGACUUGUUUAUUA
This 298-nucleotide unclassified non-coding RNA is filed under the name Hevea brasiliensis (rubber tree). The record is from RNAcentral. Lineage: Eukaryota; Viridiplantae; Streptophyta; Magnoliopsida; Malpighiales; Euphorbiaceae.